Molecule: ribosomal RNA, 279 nt
Filed under: uncultured bacterium
Lineage: Bacteria
Description: partial 16S ribosomal RNA
Rfam family: Bacterial small subunit ribosomal RNA
Source: RNAcentral
UGCCAGCAGCCGCGGUAAUACGAAGGGAACUAGCGUUGUUCGUAUUUACUGGGCGUAAAGAGCAUGUAGGCGGAUUGGACAGUUGGAGGUUAAAUCCCGGAGCUCAACUCCGGAACUGCCUUCAAUACUUCCAGUCUAGAAUCUGUAAGGGGGUGGUGGAACUCCGAGUGUAGAGGUGAAAUUCGUAGAUAUUCGGAGGAACACCAGUGGCGAAGGCGACCACAUGGUACAGUAUUGAAGCUGAGAUGAGAAAUCGUGGGGCGCAAACAGGAUUAGAUC